UCGAUCUUAGGAGCUUUAACUUCUCCACAGAUUCCAUGCCCUGCUCCUUUGAAUGUCCAGGCUGCUGGAAUUGAUACACAGAGGGGAAUAGAAGAAAUUUUUCAUAUAAAAAGCAUUAUUCACAAUAACCAAGAGAUGGAGGAAUACAAACCAAUACAAUACCAAUGGAUGAGACCAAGAAAAUGUGAUACACACAAGUGGAGGGACACCAUUCUGUCUUAAAAAGUCUCAGACAGGAGUAGUCCAGGAAACAUAAAAAUAAAAAAUUUUAAAAUGAGAAGGAUUUCCCCCAAAUGCCUUUGUUUCCAGGACAUUUUCACAUUGAUACAUCAUUGUGAACAGAUUUUGAUGGGUUUUCAGAGCCUCCUUCACAGUCAGU
Molecule: long non-coding RNA, 379 nt
Filed under: Papio anubis (olive baboon)
Lineage: Eukaryota; Metazoa; Chordata; Mammalia; Primates; Cercopithecidae
Description: lncRNA (ENSPANG00000047981.1)
Source: RNAcentral